This 86-nucleotide transfer RNA is filed under the name Acidobacteriota bacterium. RNAcentral's name for it is "Acidobacteria bacterium (mine drainage metagenome) tRNA-Leu". It matches the Rfam family "tRNA". From Rfam's summary of the family: Transfer RNA (tRNA) molecules are approximately 80 nucleotides in length. RNAcentral also lists the same sequence under 1 other name. The record is from RNAcentral. Lineage: Bacteria; Pseudomonadati; Acidobacteriota.
GCCCGGGUGGCGGAACUGGUAGACGCAGCCGGCUUAAACCCGGCGGUCCCGCAAGGGAUGUGGGGGUUCGAGUCCCUCCCCGGGCA